CCUACGGGAGGCAGCAGUGGGGAAUAUUGCACAAUGGGGGAAACCCUGAUGCAGCGACGCCGCGUGAGUGAAGAAGUAUUUCGGUAUGUAAAGCUCUAUCAGCAGGGAAGAAAAUGACGGUACCUGAUUAAGAAGCCCCGGCUAACUACGUGCCAGCAGCCGCGGUAAUACGUAGGGGGCAGGCGUUAUCCGGAUUUACUGGGUGUAAAGGGAGCGUAGACGGCAGCACAAGUCUGGAGUGAAAUGCCGGGGCUCAACCCCGGCCUGCCGUUGAAACUGGCGGCCUCGAGUGGGCGAGAAGUAUGCGGAAUGCGUGGUGUAGCGGUGAAAUGCAUAGAUAUCACGCAGAACUCCGAUUGCGAAGGCAGCAUACCGGCGCCCUACUGACGCUGAGGCACGAAAGCGUGGGUAUCGAACAGGAUUAGAUACCCUUGUAGUC
This 439-nucleotide ribosomal RNA is filed under the name uncultured bacterium. RNAcentral describes it as "partial 16S ribosomal RNA". It matches the Rfam family "Bacterial small subunit ribosomal RNA", at positions 338 to 795 of the family's 1533-position model. The record is from RNAcentral.